UUAAUGAGCUCACAACAUCACUGUAAGUAAUUAGGACACAAUUAUUAAUUAACAAUUUAUUUACUUUUUUAAUUAUGUCUUUAUCUUAAUUAACAUUUCAAUAUUGAUUCUUCAUAAACAGAGGCCAAGAAAAAAUUGAUUUUAAAAGGUUGGAUGCUCAUGUUCACCAAUUGAAAGGUAAAUAUUUUCCCCUACAAUUUUUUUUUUGUCCGUAGACUAAGUGGUAAAUAUCACUGAAACUCACUCACAGACAAUAUCGACAUUGUCCGGUUGGCGUAGUCAAACUUUAAGGAAGCUUGCCGAUUAUUGUUAUUUUGGGUAGCGGGCGGGGGAUGGUUGAAUUUUUAGUGUGGUUUGUUUUUUGUAUCAUUACUCUGUACAAAACCGUAUAUCUAUUUCUGUUGUUUGCUAUCUAUUCCUUGGUUAUGAUUUCUUGUGAAGUUUUCCUUUUGGCUUUGGAGAUCAUAGGUUUAGUCAAUUUAUGUGCUAAUGAAGCUUCAGUCCAGAUUGGAAUCAAGUCACCUGAAGUAAACAUUCUUCAAUUGCUUCCACAAGCUCUUAUUUAUAUCAGUCGUGGAUGUGAAAGUUUUGAGGUAUUUCUCUACUCAUUUAUUUGGUUGUACUUUGGGUUUGGUGCUUUUAUUGAAAGAUGCAUUUGUGUGGUACCAUUUGUGAUUUUAAUUUCAGCUAUAAACCUGAGGUUGUUGUGCUUAAUUGUAACGUUGAUUGCUCCGCCAAGAUACAUCUACAACCGGAAAGCAAAGAUUGGGCAUCAAGGAACAACCCAAGAAAUGUUGUGUUAGAGCAUUGAGGGGUAACUAUUACUUCAAGUUACUAGGUUUGUGUUAGAGCAUUGCAACCGGUCUAUUAAUUCAAUUAUAUAUGUAGGCUUAUAAGUACUACACUUAUACUAGAGCUUGUGCUGUUUGGUUAGCUUUGUUUAGCCUAGUCUUUUCGUAGUUAGCAUUGUUUGAUUUUGUUAAGAGAUAGUUACAAUUUUUGUAAUUUAGUUUCAUGAAAAUUUUGUAACAGAAUUAUUUUUGAUUUGGUAGGAAAUUUGAUUCUAUAAUAUUUCAUAUUAAUGGUUGAUUAUUGAUGCAUUAAGUUUCAGUUGUGUGGUAAUUGAAACUAUUGUUGUAUNNNN
Molecule: long non-coding RNA, 1144 nt
Filed under: Trifolium pratense (red clover)
Lineage: Eukaryota; Viridiplantae; Streptophyta; Magnoliopsida; Fabales; Fabaceae
Description: long non-coding RNA (TPRA_LNC014089)
Source: RNAcentral